Molecule: long non-coding RNA, 2214 nt
Organism: Homo sapiens (human)
Lineage: Eukaryota; Metazoa; Chordata; Mammalia; Primates; Hominidae
Gene: EWSAT1
Product: Ewing sarcoma associated transcript 1
Source: Ensembl
GAAUGACUGGCUAUGAUGGAAACAGCCACCAUGUUGUGAGGACACUCAAUUAGCCUUGUGGAGAGACCCACAUGGGUGAGAAACUAAGGGCUGCCACCAACAGCCCACAUCCACUUGCCAGCUCUGAGAGCAAAUAGAUCCUGCAGGCCUAGUCAAGCCUCAUUUGACUGACGCCUCAGUCAACAUCUUGACUGCAAGCCCAUGCAAAACACUGAGCCAGAAACCACCCACCCAAGAAGCUGUGAAUUCCUGACUGGCAAAAAAUGCUGAGCAGAAAACCAGGAAAUGGAUGGACUCCACCUCCGCAGCCACGCCUGCCCGUUUGCGCUUACUGAACAGAGGUCCUCAGGAACGUGAGCCCCUCUUCUUGGGCCUGCGAUUCCUCACCUGGAAGGGAGAAGAGUGGACUUCCUGCCUAGAGAACACCUUGGUAAACUCUUUGUGGUUCCUGUCAUGAGAAGGUGUGCAGCUUAGGGAAAAAGCCUGUGAGCUCUGGAAUCAGAUGGAACUGGAUAUGAAUUUCCAUUUAGUGCUUGUUGGAUUAAAUGUGAUGCUACUUCUCCCAGCCGAAAGAAUAAAACUGGUAAGAGGAAGGGAAAUGCAGCCUCAGUAAGGAGGCCUCCAUUCUGGAAGGGCUUCCCAGGCCCAGAGAAGGGAGAAAGUAAUUUGGAACCACCCAAGUAUUGGUGAUGCCAGGCCUCACCCUACCCUGGGGAUAUUUGAAUCUCAAAAAGGGAGCAUGGGAAUCUGACAAAGCACUUGCAUGUAUAAAGAACUCCUCCAAAUCAACAAGGCAAAAACCUCAUUAGAUACAUAGGCAAAAACCUCAGAAGAGCCACAUCACAAAGGAGCACCUCCAAAUGGCCAAGAAGCAUAUGAAAAUAUGUUCAAUCUCAUUAGCCAACAGGGAAUUCAAAUUAGAACUACACCAGGAUGGCUGAAAGUGCAAAGACUGACAAUAUCAAGGGCUGGUGGGGAUGCAGAACAACUGGAACUCUCCUAUGCACUGCGGAAGGGGUAAAUUAAUACCGCCCCUUUGGAAGAACAGUUUAGAAGCAUCACUAAAGCUGAAUAUAUUCAUGCCUACUCCGGAAAUCCUGAGCCCAGUGGCUCCCUUUGAAGAACUGCCUUGGGGUUCAUGUUGCAGCAUCAAACAGGGAUGGAAGAUGCAUCUUGCUUUAGCAGCAGGAGCCUGGAAAGCAGCUGAAGCCCUGGAGGGUGCCUGGCACACAGAAUCUUGUGCUGAGCCCGGAGCACAAUGGGAGCGGGCUGGCGGGGUGGGUUCACAGCUGGACUGGGAGCAGCAGACAUACAGGCCGUAGGCACAGACAUAUAAAGACAGUCAUGCAGAUUGCAGGAUGCCUGAGAGCACAGACUCUCACAUGCACAAAUACGUGCAUGAUCGCCAGUGUGCAUCCAGACAGCCCCACAUGCAUGCACACGCAUGCACACAUGUGAUGUGUACAUAGAUGGACACAUGUCUAUGCCCACAAACACUGCAGAGACACAGAAGUGUCUGGCAAGGAACACUAUUUUGUCCUCAAUUUUCUGCCAGUGAGAGUCUACUGACUCCAUCUCUGAAAUGUCUCUACUUAUUGUCCCUCUUCUCCACCUGCACCACAUCCCUAGUCCCUGAAACUCCCACCGAGACCCCUGGGCAAUAGCAAAGUCUGCACAGGAUUCCUGCUCCGCCUCUACCCCACCCUUAAGCCCAUCCUACAUGCAAGAGCAGGAGUUAUCUGGGUAUCAAGCAAAUCUGACCACAUCACCUCCCCACUGCUUAAAACCCUUUCCUACAGGAUGAAGUUGAAAUCACUUGACAUCCCAUAUAAGGCCCUUGACUGUCUGGCAUCAGCCAUAGUCUGGCCUCAGGCCCUGGCAUGGAGUCCCCUGGACUCAGUGCUCUGGCUGAGGGCCUCCAGGAUGAAGAUACCCUGUGCAAAGCCUCACACUUUUGCUGUUGCUGGGCUCACUGUGUGAAAUUCCCUCCUCCCUCCUUCCACCUUCCCUAUGCUGAACUGCCACUCCUCCAUCCUCCAUGGCCAGCUAAGCCAACACCUCCCCACUUCCUCCUGACAACCCAGGCACAGCCACUGACCUGUCCCAUGGCUGUCACAGCCCUUUCUUGGGCUCUCAAUGGUAUCAUUGUCACCUGUGUGCUCAUGAGCCUCUGCCACUCAACUCCAAGCACAUCAAAUAAAGAGCUCAAAACAU